This 27-nucleotide non-coding RNA is filed under the name Homo sapiens (human). Lineage: Eukaryota; Metazoa; Chordata; Mammalia; Primates; Hominidae. The record is from RNAcentral.
UGCGGCUGAGAGUGAGUGAGGCGCCUC